This 468-nucleotide ribosomal RNA is filed under the name uncultured bacterium. RNAcentral's name for it is "partial 16S ribosomal RNA". It matches the Rfam family "Bacterial small subunit ribosomal RNA", at positions 28 to 507 of the family's 1533-position model. The record is from RNAcentral.
GACGAACGCUGGCGGCGUGCUUAACACAUGCAAGUCGAACGGAAAGGCCCUGCUUUUGUGGGGUGCUCGAGUGGCGAACGGGUGAGUAACACGUGAGUAACCUGCCCUUGACUUUGGGAUAACUUCAGGAAACUGGGGCUAAUACCGGAUAGGAGCUCCUGCUGCAUGGUGGGGGUUGGAAAGUUUCGGCGGUUGGGGAUGGACUCGCGGCUUAUCAGCUUGUUGGUGGGGUAGUGGCUUACCAAGGCUUUGACGGGUAGCCGGCCUGAGAGGGUGACCGGCCACAUUGGGACUGAGAUACAGCCAAGACUCCUACGGGAGGCAGCAGUGGGGAAUAUUGCACAAUGGGCGGAAGCCUGAUGCAGCAACGCCGCGUGCGGGAUGACGGCCUUCGGGUUGUAAACCGCUUUCGCCUGUGACGAAGCGUGAGUGACGGUAAUGGGUAAAGAAGCACCGGCUAACUACGUG